CCUACGGGAGGCAGCAGUCGAGAAUCAUUCACAAUGGGGGAAACCCUGAUGGGGCGACGCCGCGUGGGGGAAUGAAGGUCUGCGGAUUGUAAACCCCUGUCAUGGGGGAGCAAAGUAAAAAGAGAGUACCACAAGAGGAAGAGACGGCGAACGCUGUGCCAGCAGCCGCGGUAAGACAGAGGCCUCAAGCGUUGUUCGGAACCACUGGGCGUAAAGCGUGCGUAGGCUUUUUCGUAAGUCGUGUGUGAAGGGCGCGGGCUCCACCCGCGGAGGGCACAUGAUACUGCGAGACUAGAGUAAUGGUGGGGGAACCGGACUUCUCGGUGUAGCCG
This 332-nucleotide ribosomal RNA is filed under the name uncultured bacterium. RNAcentral describes it as "partial 16S ribosomal RNA". It matches the Rfam family "Bacterial small subunit ribosomal RNA", at positions 338 to 681 of the family's 1533-position model. The record is from RNAcentral.